This 464-nucleotide ribosomal RNA is filed under the name uncultured bacterium. Its description in RNAcentral is "partial 16S ribosomal RNA". It matches the Rfam family "Bacterial small subunit ribosomal RNA", at positions 28 to 507 of the family's 1533-position model. The record is from RNAcentral.
GACGAACGCUGGCGGCGUGCUUAACACAUGCAAGUCGAACGGAAAGGCCCUGCUUGCCGGGUACUCGAGUGGCGAACGGGUGAGUAACACGUGGGUGAUCUGCCCUGCACUUCGGGAUAAGCCUGGGAAACUGGGUCUAAUACCGGAUAGGAGCCAUUUUUAGUGUGAUGGUUGGAAAGUUUUUUCGGUGUAGGAUGAGCUCGCGGCCUAUCAGCUUGUUGGUGGGGUAAUGGCCUACCAAGGCGGCGACGGUAGCCGGCCUGAGAGGGUGGACGGCCACAUUGGGACUGAGAGACGGCCCAGACUCCUACGGGAGGCAGAAGGGGGGAAUAUUGCACAAUGGGCGCAAGCCUGAUGCAGCGACGCCGCGUGGGGGAUGACGGCCUUCGGGUUGUAAACUCCUUUCGCUAGGGACGAAGCUUUUUGUGACGGUACCUAGAUAAGAAGCACCGGCUAACUACGUG